Long non-coding RNA from Pan troglodytes (chimpanzee), 3078 nucleotides. RefSeq lists it as uncharacterized. Lineage: Eukaryota; Metazoa; Chordata; Mammalia; Primates; Hominidae. The transcript has 6 exons. The record is from RefSeq and is a predicted model, not a curated record.
UAUUCCAUUGGUCAAUGUGGCUGUCCUUGCAUCAAUACCCGACUGAUCUAAUUACUACAGCUUCAUAGUAAGGUGGUGUUUGGUUGUGUUUAGAACAGCAGUUGACAUUUUUAUAUUGCUCUUGUACCCAGUUAUCUUGCCAAACUCUCCUAUUAUUUUUUUUCUUUUCUUUCUUUAUUUUUGAGACAGAGUCUCUCUCUUUGUUGUCCAGGCUGGAGUGCCGUGGCGUGAUCUUGGCUCACUGCAACCUCCACCUCCAGGGUUCAAGCGAUUCUCCUGUCUCAGUCUCCCGAGUAGCUGGGAUUACAGGUGCCCACCACCAUGCCCAGCUACUUUUCAUAUUUUUAGUAGAGAUGGGGGUUUCACCAAGUGGGCCAGGCUGGUCUCAAACUCCUGACUUCAGGUGACCCACCCACCUUGAUCUCCCAAAGUGCUGGGAUUACAGGUGUGAGCCACCGCACCCAGCAAACUCUCCUAUUAUUCUAAUCAUGUACAGGUAGUUCCUUUUAGUUUUGUAAGUAAAAAAGCAUUAUCAUCUGCAAGUAUUGACAGCUUUUUAUCAACCUAAAAAGUUUUUAUGCACCCUUUUAUUUUUUCUGGUUUUAUUGCCCUAGCAAAACUCUUCAAUACAUUGUUGCCUAAAUGUGUCAAUAGAAUAAUUUUUUUUUUUCCAUUUCUAACUGGGAAGAGGAUUCUUCCAACAAUUUUUCAUUUAGGAAAGGCAAGCCACAGAGGAAGGUGGUCUACUGUUCUUCUACCUCCUCAUAUGUCUACAUUCCACUGGUGGAAGCAGGGGUGUAAUUUUUGCAUCUGUUCAAAGCCAACCAGGUUGAACCCAAAGGACUGUGUCAGCGUUUUAUGGAGUCCAUGACAUGUAAGACGUUGCCAGACAUGAAUGAAAUACUGUGAUGAGCAAGAAAUAGCCUGAAACCAGAGGCCCAUAAUCCAAUGGAAUGAACCACACUCUCGAUGUGCGUACAGAGAAGAUGGCUGGCUGGCUGGAUCCAGGGUUUUAAUGUUUCCAGAUUGAUAGCACAUGGCUUGCAGACCACAACUCCCCUUCAAGACUAAGACUAUCCCUAUGUUCCACACCUUGCCUCACUGACUUCCAGCCAGACUGUCAGCUAGGACUAUAUCUACAACUCUCGAAAUUAUUUACAUUUCCUGCCUGGGUCACCUCUUGGGCAAGAGGUUUUCCUGUAUUACACCCCCACAGCAAGAAAUAGUAUUUUAUUAAUUAGAAACUCUAAGAGGCACUCACCUCAAGUCCUGGUAUUUCUAGGGCUGGGAAAGUGAUCCCAGGUGUUUCAUGCCUGUUUCAUGCUUUCUUUUCUAAAAACUUCAACAUUCAUGUAAGGACUAAGAUUCAAAAGCCAUCAGCAUAGCAGAUUGGAAAAUCUGGGCUAAUGACUCUCAGCAUAUGCUCGGGGCUGAAGACCCAGACAGUCGGAACAGGAGACCUUUAGACUCAUUGUUCUAUGGAUGUGCCUGGGAGUCUAAGAAGGACAUCUCCAACCCUGCUGGUGGGUUGGGAGAAAGACAAGCAAAGGCAAGUGAUUGACUACAGAGCAGAGUGCAGUGAGAUCCCUGCAUGGGCUCUGGUCCCUGCUGGAGCUCUCUUUUGGCAGGCAGCCUGUGGGAAUCUGUAAUAUGACCAGUCAGGAACUUGGCCCUGGGAAGUUGGAGGUAUGGAUAUAACACAAGUCCCUGAGAACUUUGAGGAAGGAACCCCAAGAGAUAUCAACUUCCCUGUUGCUUGCUUUUCUUCCUCUGCAUGACUUUAUGGACUUGAAGGAGGACCUCAAUGCUUAGUUUGCACCUCACUUAUCUUACUUGGAGCUAUUGUACUGGGUUAUCUUGCCUACCAACAUGACUCAAUUAUUUCACUGAAACCAGUAACUUCCAAAUUAUAUCUCUAAUGUACAUUUUUUUCUGAGCUCCAGAUUACAUAUCAAAUUAACUCCUAACUCUACCUGAUAGACUGAACAAUGCUUCCCCUCAAAGAUGUCCAUGUCUUAGCCCUCAAAACCUGUGAAUAAGUUAUCUUUACAUAGCAAAAGACACCUUGCCAAUGUGAUUAAGUUAAGGAUCUUGAGAAAAGGGGAUGGUCCUGGAUUAUCCAGGUGAGCCCAAGGGCAUCACAAGGAACCACAGAAGAGGGAGGCAAAAGGGUCAGAGUCAGAGGAGACGUGAUGACAGAAGCAGAGGUCGGAGUGGUGAAGGGUCAUGAGCCAAGGAAUGUGGGCAGACCCUAGAAGAUAGAGAAGAAAAGGGACAAAUGCCCCUGUGGAAUACAACUCAAUUCCAGAAGGAAUUCAACUCUGCCAGCCCCUUGGUUUUAGCCUAAGACUAUGUCACACUUCUGAUCUUCAAAACUGUACAAUAAUCAAUAUGAGUGGUUUUAAGCCACUUAGUUUGUGGUAAUUUUUUACAUCAGUAGUGGAAACCAAUACACACCUGGGUAUCCCAAACUCACCAUCUGCCCUCCAAAAUGUGAUGCUUCCUCUGAACCAUUCAUUUCAAGACAUAGUACACGACUCUGCUAGUUCCCAAACUAGAAACAUGGAAGUCAUCCCAACACCUCCCACUCGCUUACCCACAACGUCCAGUGGCUUUGUUUUAAGACAAAGUGUUUAAAGACAAAGUUCAAAAUCCUUAAAGGGAUCCACAGGGCCCUGAAAUGUGUCCCAGGAUCUCACUGACCUCCCUGGCAUCCAUCUUUGGCUGGAUGGGUCUUUUGAGAAUGUCUAGAGAUAGCUCACACGUUCAUACUUGCUCCUAAGCCAGCCUGGAAGGCACCCAUCCCUCCUCCACCACCCACAUCACUGGCAACUUUUUGAGGAAUCAACUCUCAUGGCUUUUCCUCCAAGAAGCCUUGUCUGUAUCCACCGCUGAAGUUAGGUGCCCACUUCCCUAAAUUCUCACCCUUCAGUCUUGUAAGAGUCACCACAAGUAUUAUGUUCAAUUUAUCUCCUUCCAGUUAUUCUGCCAUCUCAUGAAGGCAGGAACCACAACUGUCUGGCUCUUGACUAUAGGCCGUGUUGCUGCACAAAAGCAGACACUCAGUACUAUUUACUG